UNCANUAACCANGCAUCCACNUGGUAGGUGCUGCCAUCGGCAAGAUGACAAACAUGGNCUUCCCUUCCUCAACUGUNAAAGAACAAACUAANGCACUCAAUCUUCCGAGAUGGGCAGAUGAUCAAUAGCACCUUACUUCCUACAUCCCUAAAGCGUUAUUCAGCACUACACACUAAACCCUAAACCCCUUCUCUACUGCUUCCCCAGCGACCAGCCCGCGCUCUUUGCGGGCCUUCUAUCCCUGUGGUGGAGCUGACCGGUCUCGAACCGGUGACCCCCUGCUUGCAAANCAGGUGCUCUCCCAACUGAGCUACAGCCCCAUUUGGUGGGCCCAAGUGGACUCGAACCACUGACCUCACGAUUAUCAGUCGUGUGCUCUAGCCAGCUGAGCUAUAGGCCCAAUUCCUUACCGAGUGGCGUGUGUGGGGUCUAGACCCUUUUCUUUAAAGGAGGUGAUCCAGCCGCAGGUUCCCCUACGGCUACCUUGUUAACGACUUCACC
This 501-nucleotide ribosomal RNA is filed under the name Acidithiobacillus ferrooxidans. RNAcentral describes it as "partial 16S ribosomal RNA". The record is from RNAcentral. Lineage: Bacteria; Pseudomonadati; Pseudomonadota; Acidithiobacillia; Acidithiobacillales; Acidithiobacillaceae.